UCAUAUUCUUUACACUGUACAAUCUGACAUUAUUAGUUACAGUUAGUUAGUGACCUGAUACGGAAUGUAUUUUUCCGUAUCAGGUCACUAACUAACUGUGUUACGAAUUUAUCACGUCGAUGACCUCUAACUGUAUACGUGGGGGUAUAUAUAAUACGACUUUGUCUGCCCAAAUUGCUUCUGAAUCACCAUUUUGUUACGGCUGCAAGUCGAACCUGACCAUAAAUUACUCGCUCAAUAUGGAUUGAUUUUUCUCGCAUGAUACUGGUUUUUUCUCACGGCAUCAUGUGACCAAGAUCUGACCAAUUAGAUUUCAACAAUUUUGUCUGAGGUGUGAUAAAUCUAACACAAAAUUAGUUUCCCAGAGCAUGUCAGAUUAAACAGGUAUCACAUCUAGUUCUAUUGAAUUCUUUAGCAUGUAUAGACUCUACAAAGAAUGUUUGUGAAAUACAUUGCCACUGUGCCUGAACUUCAUCAAUGACUUUGACCUUUAAAAAUUUGACCUUAUAACCUUUCAGUUCACCCAGCAUGAAGUCUCUAUCUUUAUAUAUCACAAGUUAUAACCAUGUAGGACUAAAGUUACACACAAAGGAGACAAAAGAUAAAAAGAGACCAUCUGAGAGACACACCAAUAUGAGAUGCAUUAUAUAUUAUCUUGGAGGCAAAAAGAGUAUUAAAUCAUAUUCUCCACAUAGCCUUACAAUGACAAGAAGGCUCUUGGCUUUUUUCUCUCUUUUAUAUUUUGCUGCAACAUGUUGCACAGUAUGACCUUAAAAUGACCUUCACAGUGGACUAUACAGGCAUCCAAUGUCUGUGAUCUGGCUUGCUCAGAGCCUGAGCGUCAAUGACUUUCAACUGCACUAUACAGAUUUCAUUCCACUAUACUACUUGUUCAUUUACUUACAGUCAUAUUUAACAAUUUAAAUCUCUCAAAACUUAAUUUUACAUGCAGUUCUAAUUUUAGUUGAAACUUGAUUUCACAAACAUGUCAUCCUACUUGACUGUAACAGAAAUUAUGAGGCUAUGGGAAAGGAAUCAUCUGUGAACACUCACAGAGGUGUUUAUGAAGCCUUUAUGUACUGAAGAUGAAAUAAAUCUAGACAAAGAAGACAUCUUCAUAUCAUUCCACACUGUCAAAUGUGAAGCAAAGUUUUAACAAUUCCUGAGUUAUCAUCUUAGAAUAUGGGAGGUAACUCAUGCACUUUGCUGAAGUGCAUAUCUUAAAAUGGAUUGAAGUGGUAUGCUGGCUCUUUUAGAACAAAGACACCAAAACAAGGAAGGAAGCAGGGUUCUGAAGUGGCUUGUUGAUGCCCAGAAGUAGGGCCCGAGUCAAGAGGCAUUUAGAGCCUUGCUGCUUCCUCAAUAGUUUUGUAUGCUCUGACAACUUUUAAACAAGUCUUCCUCUUCUUUGUCUUGAAAAAAAAUCAACAUUUUCUAAUAAUUGUUCUUGUUUAUAUUGUAAUUGGGCAAAUUCCUACUUACUGAAAAAGACAAGAAUGAUCUGCAACCAGUCGUAAAAUAAUUAACAAAGACAGGAAACACAUCAGAUCUGUACAAGAUAGCGCAUAAAUCUAAUGAAAUACCAGUAAAGGUAUAUUUUUAUUAUCUCUGCAAUUAACAGAGCAAAGGAAAUUUGCUCUAAUCUGACAAAUGUUUACACAUAAAGUAAUUCAAAUCUUCAACAGUCCAAUGGACAAGAUUUAAAGAAAAUCUUCUUUGAAUAUUUCAUGGCUUCCCUAGAUGACAACCUCAGAAACAGAACACAAGACCUUGUAUUGCAGGCUGUCAGGGUGAUUCACACACAGCGUUACACAGUCACAAAACGCAUGCUUUUACCAGCAAGUUAUUAUGGUAUAUUAACAUAAUCUUAAUUUUGUCUUAUAUCUCCUGAUGUAAUGCGUUAACUUUGACAGCUUCGGGUUAAAGUACACAACCCAGUGACCCUCUUCUUGACAAAGAUUUGGGCGCCCACAUCUAAUUUGCAUAUGUUGACAACUCCUUCAUUAAACCACAAUGCCAUCUAAUUGUUUCUCGGUGGAGUCUGAAAGACUGCAAAGAAAUUUUCUUACCCAUUUAACAUAUCAAUACACUGCUGGUUUUCCUCUUUUUGUGAGAUUUGGUAUUUUUAAUGCAUUUCAAGGUAUUGUCAAAUCUUGCAAUCUGACAUCAACAUUUAUAAUAAUUAAUGGAUGCAUAAUAAUGAAGGUCAGGGAAUAUCUGUUCAGUAAAUUAAUCUAAAUAUUCUGUGACAAUUUCAUAAUAAGCCAAUUAAUGUACAACAACCAUAAGACACUGUGGGUAACAGGAUAGGAUUGGUUAUCUAGGUGGUGCACUGUAAGACACCAUGUUACGUACACUACAAGGCUGGUUACUUAGGUGGUAUUACUUGAUAGGGCUGGUUAAGGUUAAAUAAAAACUGUCAGGCACUGUGUUUCUCUGCAAGGCUAGUUACUUUGGUAAAGAACUGUCAGACACUGUGUUACACUAUAAAGCUGGUUAUUUAGGUGGAAAAACUGUCUGACAUUGUGUUACAGUAUAAAUCUAGUUAUUUAGGUGAAGAACUGUCUGACACUGUGUUACACUAAAAAGCUGGCUAUUUGGGUAGGGAACUGUCUGACAGUGUUACACUAUAAAGCUGGUUAUUUAGGUGAACUGUCAGACACUGUCUUACACUAUAAAGCUGGUUAUUUAGGUGGAGAACUGUCUGACAUUGUGUUACACUAUAAAGUUGGUUAUUUAGGUGGAGAACUGUCUGACACUGUUACACUAUAAAGCUGGUUAUUUAGGUGGAGAACUGUCUGACACUGUUACACUAUAAAGCUGGUUAUUUAGGUGGAGAACUGUCCGACUUUGUGUUACACUAUAAAGCUGGUUAUUUAGGUGGAGAACUGUCUGACACUGUGUUACACUAUAAAGCUGGUUAUUUAGGUGGAGAACUGUCUGACACUGUGUUACACUAUAAAGCUGGUUAUUUAGGUGGAGAACUGUCUGACACUGUGUUACACUAUAAAGCUGGUUAUUUAGGUGGAGAACUUUCUGACAUUGUGUUACACUAUAAAGCUGGUUAUUUAGGUAGGGAGCUGUCAGACACUGUUACACUAUAAAUCUAGUUAUUUAGGUGGGGAACUGUCAGACAUUGUGUUACAGGGUUCGAAAUUACCUCAUGUCCGUAAGUCUGAGACUAUUAAAAAGCGUGUUGGACUAGUAAAUUCUCUAUAGCUAGUGAAAAUCCGGAAAUCAAUCUUGAAUUGAUUAAGAUUUUAGCAAGAUUUGUCCGAGUCUCUUAUGGUCGAUUACCUGCAUGGUUAAGUGUUUGCGUGACUAUGACAUCCUGAUCUUCCAAACACAUGGAGUGUGUUCGAGACCGCCGUUCUUCGAACAAGCACAAAUUCUUGCUGAUUCCGAACUCCUAGUACGCAUCAGAAGAAUGGGUUCAAGGUGCAAGAACUCCAAGAACAAGCACGUUUGUGCGCACAUGUUCUUGUCAUUCGCGACUCCAACACAGGAGUUCGUAACACUGUAGCUCAUGGUUUGGUCAAUUGAGUGAGUUUUAUUGACUUUAUUGAUAAAAUUUCGAACUCCUGUGACUCCAAGAACUGAGGACGAAAACAACGGGAACGUCGAUCUCGAACGUACUUAUGGACGUUUAUAAAAGGAUUAACUCGGAGGUUACUGUAUGCUUCUGAAGAUCUUGAAUGCAAAAUAAAGUAUGGUGGUGUUUUUCUGUAGGUGUCAGAAACUGAAUUGCUUGCAACUGUGAUGUGUUUGGUUUCAUUAAAUACUAUUGAAUAAAAUGAAGAUUAUUUAAUCAAGAUUAAUUGAUUUUAUAUCAAAUAGUCAACUAUUAAUUUAGUACAGGUUUCCACCCGGGCUGUCACCCUGGGCGCCCUUAACAAUUAUACUACAAUGGUAUUACCUUACGACUACGUUAUGGUACGACUAUGCUACGGCACGAGUUAAUGAACAACAAACAGUCCCCGGAUGUCGUUCUCUUUUUCAAAAUCCACCGAACAAGAAGGAUGUGUUUUUUUUUCCCCAAUCCACCCACCCAUUAUAUUAUUAGGGCAUAAUUCUAAUAUCUGCUUUGCUGCUUUCUCUUCUUUCUUUCUUUUUUCAUUGCAGAAUACCAAGCGACACGUGCCCAUCCUAGCCGAGAAGAAUGGAACGCGUACUGAAUGUCAUAGCUACCUGUCAGUGCCUCAAACGCAUUCUUGCCAAAUCCAAUUUUGUAGGGGAUAUACAGUAUUAAUUUUUUUUGCUUCUAUGGGAUAAAUUAAUGUCACAGCUACCCCAAAAACAAAGUAUACUUUUUGUCGCAAUUCCGGGUUUGGGGGGGGCGGGGACUGGGGGAUACCAUAGUGUAGGCUGGGAUCAAGUGGCCCCAUAACCUGGUGGUCUCCCCACCCUGCAUACAAAGCAGGGGGGCGUGGCUCAAAGUAACAAUGUGUAGUUGUGCAAAUAUGGUAACAAUCGUGGGUCAUGGCCUGCCAGGGCUGGUCCCACCUCCACCUCAUUCAAGCGGGGGGAGGCCACAGUCUGGUAAAUGUAAAACCAGGUGGCGCUAGAGACAGGGAGAAGGGCGGUCCCACCUACACUGGUCCAGAACGCGGUAAUCGUUCGGAUCAGGCACUUGUGCUUACACUCGGCCUCCUUUGUGCCCAUACUGUCUUGGUACAAUUGCAUGUAUCCCCGUGUCCCCCACAAAAAUUGCGGCCUUUUCAUCCACUUACAAACCUUGUUCCAUUCUAUAUGUUGUAUCGUGUAAUUUGUUCUGUUGUACCUUUUGAAGCAUCAAUAAAGUCAUGUUCAUAUUCACGGGUGUUAUCAUUUCAAGGCAAUGCUGAUGCAUUAAACACGCUGGGAUCGGACUACAUUUGGCUCGAAUGUUGAGCAAGCGGGCAUGUGUUGCGGAAUGCCUAGCUCACUGGAUCUAAUAAUUAAUGAUAUAUUGGACAGACUAGUGAAAUGCUUUGCUGACUAGUGAACAUUAAUAGUGACUAGUCCGUACAGACUAGUGCUUGAAAAAGUUAAUUUCGAACCCUGUUUUACGCUAUCAAGAUGGUUAUUUAGGUGGGGAACUGUCAGACAAUGCUUCACUAUAAAGCUGGAUAUUUAGGUGGAGAACUGUCUAAUGCUGUGUUACACUAUAAAGCUGGUUAUUUAGGUGGGGAACAUUCAUACACUGCUUCACUAUAAAUCUAGUUUAUAUUUAGGUGGAGAACUGUCUGACACUGUUACACUAAAAAGCUGGUUAUUUAGGUGGGGAACUGUCUGACACUGUGUAACACUAUAAAGCUGGUUAUUUAGGUGGGGAACUGUCUGACACUGUGUAACACUAUAAAGCUGGUUAUUUAGGUGGAGAACUGUCUGACACUGUUACACUAUAAAGCUGGUUAUUUAGGUGGAGAACUGUCUUACACUGUGUUACACUAAAAAGCUGCUUAUUUAGGUGGAGAACUGUCUGACAGUUACAUCUAGUUAUUUUGGCGGGGAACUGGCGGAUGCUGUUUUUCGAUCUCUCUGUAGGACCAGUUAUUUAGGUAAAGGAUUUUUAAACACUGUGUGGUGCAGUAUGGGGUUGAUUACUGUCAGACACUGUUACUCUUUAGAGCUAAUGUUACUAGAGUGGAGAACUGUGAGACACUGUUACUCUAUAGAACUAAUGUCACUAGAGUGGAGAACUGUCAGACACUGUUACUCUAUAGGGCUUGUUACUUAGGUCAGGAGAACUGUCAGACACUGUUACUCUAUUGGACUUGUUACUUGAGUGGAGAACUGUCAGACACUGUUACUCUAUAGGACUUGUUACUUGAGUGGAGAACUGUCAGCCACUGUUACUCUAUAGGACUUGUUACUUGAGUGGAGAACUGUCAGACACUGUUACCCUCUAGAGCUGUAUAUUUGGUGGAAACUAAUUUUUGCCUUUCUUUGGCAAUCAUACAUACAAGAAACUGUUAAUCUUGCAUACAUUUGUAUUUAAUGACCAUAUUCAAUAAAAUCUGCAAAUUAUUUUAUUCACAUCAAAAUAGACAAUAUCUAGGUCUAUAGAUAUGAUUUAUUCUGCAUCAAAGCAAGAUCUUUUGAUUCCAGAAACUUAUCAUAAAUAUUUGCCAUGGAAACAUUUAACAUUCCAAUGAAUAAGCUGUAGAUAGGUCCAUGUACCUGUUAGGUUUUUUUUUUUAACGUUUAUCUUGCCUGAUCUCUGGGUUUUAUAACUUUGACACUGAUGUAGUAUCAGUAACUCUAUAUCUAUAUACACAUCUAUCAUGACCAAAAUCUAUAACAGGGGUGCAUUAAAAUAUAUGGAAAGGUAAAAUCAUAAUGAUAACCACAACACAUGAUAUCUUGUACUGAAUAUUAAUUGGAUAAAAACAUGGCAUUUCAUAUUGGAUUAAAUUCCUGUGUUGCCUAUUUUAAAUUUAUAUUGGGAUUAGGAGAUUUAACAGCACAGAGCUAUAAAACACAGUACUUUACUAUCAAAUAAAGCAAACCUCAACUCCAUGUUUCAUAAAGAAGGGUCAGCACUCUUUUGAAAUGAUCACAGUGUGUAAAUAGAUAAUGUGUCUGGCUGGUAACAUGGUCCUUUGACAAUGAUGGUAAGUGGUUUUAUGUAGAUAGGCCCUGGAGAAGAUCAAUCAUUUUCUAGUAAUACUCAGACUAAACAUUUUAAACCCCUAAUGUUUGUCCAUGGUUUUCAUGCAGAAAAAUUGUAAAUGCUUUGUCAGUUAUCCCAUCUUUACCACAUUACCUCCACCACAAGUUCCCAGAUCAGCUGCCCAGUGGCAUGAUAGCGUGAAACUGUAUAUACCUAAGUAAAUUUAAACAAAUUAGAGGGUCAGGAAAAAUCCUUGGUUGUGGAGUAGGUGGUAGAGAGACAAUGAUUUUGUUUAUUAAGGAUUGAGACACCACAGAGCAAUAAAUCAAUCAUAAUUAAUAAACAGGUGCCCCCUCUGAGGUUAAUGUGACAACCAGAACUCAUGACAGGCCUAUCAAAUGAGCAAUUUAUAGUAAAUGUAUGCAGCUUAUUAUUCACUACAAUAAUUUAAUUAAAAUUUUACCAUAAGAACCUGAUAGAAUUUUUGCUUGCCAGGUGGAUACACAGACUUUUAUAAAAAUGUGUUCCAUGCAAGAACAUUAUAAAACAGGAAAACCAACAGAUUCCGCUGACAGAACUUCAGUUUUCUUAGUCAGUUUUCUGUUAAUUCGCCCCCCCCCCCCCCACCACCCCCUCCUCACUUACCAGUAAACUGACAGUACCCAGCCAACAUCUCUGAGGGUCGGGGGUUCCACCACAUAGUAUCUCACACAAUCUGUAAUGUCACUGUGUCCUCAAAUAAACUUAACACUUCAACAGUACUCCUGUAACACCAGAAAUAACCUGGUCCGUUAUGUCAUAACCACACUGUUCAGGCCCUCGCUAUGUUUAACUGUCUGUCAUUCAUGAUCUUGUCACUAUUUAACUGUGAAAUCGGAAGUCUCCACUACUGUUUAUCAACAGUUGGUGUGUGAUUCUGCCAAGAGGUUCAAGAAACGACAAAAUCAACACCACCUGUAUGUGUAAAACAAGGAACAUGAAUUUUAACAACUGUUACAGGGGGAACACAUGUUUAACUCAUAAUCUUGUACCUUCCAUCAUAUUCCACUUUAUGCUGAAAGGAAAAUCAAUGCAAAGUAUCACAGAAUCCCAUCUCGAUCUUUCUUCCCACAAUGACAAAUCCAUGUCACUCCAUAAUGUUUAAUGCACUUGGACAACAAUGAUGCCUGCUUGUUUCCACCUUGUAAUCACAGUUCUAUAAAUCCCUCACUUCUCACAUUCUUAUCAUCCUCGUCUUCCUCCACUACUGAAUAUCAUUGCAAAAAUCAAUUUUAUAAUUGAGCACACACUACCCUCAAAACAUGGUGAUUUACACCAGUAUCUGAUUUCUCUAGAGAGAUAAGUCAGAAACCAUAAUGUUCCCCGGCUCCUCUCCGAGUGACAGGUGAGCGACUGAACUUAACAAGGAUCCAAAAAGGCACAAUUUGUCAAUGUAAGAGAACUCCAGAAUACAUUAUUACACUUUGUCACAACCUGCUGUUUAAAGCGACUUCCUAGCCACAGUGUGGACUUACUAAAGCCACGCUAAGAAGAUUACCAGCAAGCGAUCACUAAACAAGAAGUAUAAGAAUUCAUAAAGUUAAAUCGAUAAUAUGUCUUAGGUUGCUGUCGUUAGUCUGUUUAAGUGCUUUUGACAAGGUUGACUUAUGCCACUAUUUAUUAUUUAUUUUAAGCCCCAUUAGAUUCUAAGCCAAUCAAUAUUUUCAUUAUUACAAUUUCCACCAAAAGGAUGUCUUUUUUAUUGUCUAACAGCAUUGAUUUACAGCCUCUGUAAAUGAAAGAAAUAACUCCAGAUUUUGCGAAGUAAUGUUUUAUUUCAUCGAUCAGCUUUCGUGUUGUUUAAGGUGAGAAGUAGUUUAUUCGACAGAUUUCAUGGCAUGCCAAGCACAAUCUCUCACACAGGUAAACUGCUAUUGCAAAAGGUUCCCUCAUCUAAAUACCAUCUUGUUGAGAUGUCUGUACAACCACACAAUAGCGUUAACCUUUGAUCUGUCAAACGGUUAGAGGUCACUGACAAAAUAUUCCUGGCAACACGUGCCAGUCAUUACGUAACUGUGCACACCAAAUGUCAACAAAUGAGGCAGCUAAGGUAAUCCUUGCCAUUACUUCAGACAUCUAUUUUGUUCUUUUUUUUAUAACAGAGAGAUCAAUGCUGAGCUUUUAAUGGCUGCAGUCUGUAAACAUUUGAUAGCUAUACAUUGUGUGUCAGGUAAAGAGGCUGUGUAAUAUAUAUCCCGAUCCCCCUAUAGCAGUGAUCCUGAAGUUGCAGCGAUAUAUAACAACAUCCACAAUCUCUUUAUCAUCACAACACAAAACCUGAUAUGUAACAAAACAGCAGGUGUUAAAUACACACACAAGCCUUUCAAUAGCAGACUGCGGCAGCUUCACUGGUAACUAGCUGCAGCGCUGCACAAUUUAUCUCCUCAUUUCAUGCCCCCCAUCCCAACAGUUUCUGAUACAGACUCAUGUCAAACCUGUAAGCCAGAUGGAGGUGGGUCAAAGGUCAUGUCCUCAGCCACAGAGGAUCAAUGGCAGUAAAAUAUGGUCCGUUGCCAGCCUUUCAUUCUUUCUGAGCCUGACUACUGGGGGUCAGUUCAUCCGACCUCACACUGGCCUGAGUGCUGUAGACAUGCCAGUCUAUCCAAUAAAUCUACUGGUCAAUAAAAUGUCGGAAGCAAUAGCAGGGUCGGCCAAUUAACACCUUAUCCUCUACAAAACACCAGCUAACACAAUUUCUGCAAAUAUAAACUGCUGUUUCAAAGCAAGCUCCAUGUUUUGUUAAUGCUUCACUCCCAGGUCUACCUAACAUCACUCAUCCAGACGAUUCUGAAGAUUGUGAAGCAAGGUUUCUCUACUUGUUCCUCUGGCUGACGACAGAAAAGAUCAGAACUUUUACACCUGAUGAAGAACACCUGUCUUAGUCAAUCAACCAAGAUGAAGCAAGCUCUUUCAGAGUGUCAGGUCACUUCAGGUUAAGCCAUAGACUUAAUUAACACAGUCCAUUAACAGGAUGAAUAUUGUGCACAAAUUAACAAAAAUGAACACCCGUGUUAAUAUGUGUAGAAAUGGGAUUUUUCCAGAAAUCAUAAAAAUUUUCUGUGGACCAGCCCAGGUCAAUUCAUAAUUUACUUUAGAAAUGUGCUUCAUUUCUUUAAUUAAAGAUGUGAGCUUGAACAUUGCUCAAUGAUGUUAUAACAGUAAGAGCAAACGAACAAGUACAAACAUAUUCUGAGAGCCCUUUGCUGAUUGAGCACUAUUGCUCCACAAGUAAUAUAAUUAAUCAUUUAUCACUUCUAACACUUAUGGCUUGCUAAAUUACUCCAUACUUGACAUUACAUAUUUGCACUAUACUGAUAUAUGAAAUAUUCAGAGAAUUUUUCGCAAUCAAUCAAAAUAAUACAAUCAUUUUAAGAAUCAUUUUAUAGAUUUUUCAAAACGUUGCCAUUUGAAGAGUAACCUGACACAGCAUGACCUACUGACCCCAGAGCAAGAUAUGAUUAGUUGUGUGUAUGAAUGUAUCCUUAGCUUUUUUUUCUAUAAUGACCCAUCCUUAACAGAUAAUUUUGUAGGAUUAGUACCAAAAACAGAAUCUUUCCCCAGUAACUAAUGGCAUGUUUGUGCUACUCCUGGGACAACAUCAGCCAAAUAAAAUCUCUAACAAACGAAAACAUCCCCACAAUUACAUGAUUUCACGCGACGUAACCAAGACCAAAUUAAUGAGGCUUCAUUCUAGAAGGAAGAGCUGUUGAGAAAGCUAAUUUGCUGACAGAACAGUGGGUUAAUCGAGGUAAAACACCGAGGCCGAGGAGAACAUAUCGAUUCCCAAGUAGUGAUAUGAUAGCAACGCCUCUUCCGCAUCCUCUACCACCCCCACCCCCCAACAACUCCCAUAAAAACACAAAGAAUCCUUUAAACAGUGCAAAACUAAUGAAUUCAAUUUUGUUCUUUAAGCCUUCAUUCAACACCUUCAUUUGUAAUUAUGGUCGACAUUUUAUCGCAGUCAAACAUGACACCAACAGAUAGUUUAUAACCGCUAACACAUAUCUAAUUAAACAUAUUACCUUAAUUUGAUAAAUGACUAUGUUGCAUAAGAGUGAACUAUAAAAUGUCAUUGUAGAAAAUACCCCAAUACAUGGACAAAAUGAGUGUAUGUUCCAUGAUAUACGUUGUGGUGUGUGUUGUUGUAAUGGAAAGCCAUAGAUGUAUAUACUCACCAUGGAUAGAGUAGAAGUUGGGGGGGAUCCCGCCCUGUGCUGCCAUCUGUGACAUCAGAUAGGCCUCCAUGCGGUCUAUCAAACUAGGGUAUAGUCCAUUCAUGUGGUUCAUUGUUUGAAAAUUGCUCACAUUUCCCACUUACUGGAUAUCAGAUGAUUGGUUUCAUUCGCGAACCAAGUGUCACACAUUUUUCAUUCGGAAUGGUCUAUGUAAGAGUUAAUCACACAGUAUGUGGUUUAUGGAGAAAUUAGGAGGCUAUUAAUUCGCCAUGACAAUUAUGGUUCUAAUCUUCUAUGUACUUGUGCUGUAAUAAUAUAAAACUUUUUACAUAUCUAGCAUAAUGAGUUCAAGUGGUAAAAAGCUUCAACAUUAGGACAUCUUGAAAUGACUCACAUCUCCUCUACCACUCUCACUGACAGAACAAGGAAGAUACCAUCUAUUAAACAGUGCAAAGUGUCACUAUAUAGGGAACAUUUCAUUUCACCACAAGUUCCAACAAUUCCUAUACAAGACCCUUGACCUACUUUUCAAACUCCUGGUCAUGAGCAGUUUUGCCAUUGUGCACGAGGACAAACCCCACAUGCAAAACUAGCAUAAACAAAAAGCCCCCACUUUGCAGGGGGAACAGUUUGGAACCAUCACUAACUCUUGAGAGCUAUCAUGUAUGAAUUUUACCCUCUAUGAUUCACGUCAUCUAUCAGACUAUAACACCACAUAUCAUUGGAAACAGAUUAGGGAAAUACCACAACACUUUCCAAAAAUAGUACAUGAAACUAAGAAAAGAUAUUAUUAAGAGACGGCCCUCAAUGGCCAAGUACAGACUCAAUUCAAUGUUUGUAAACAAUGCAACUUCACAACAAUUCAUCCAAAAAACAAAAACAGUUGACACCUAACUGCUACCUACUCCUCUCUAAAAUCAUCUAAAAAGAGUUAGAACCUUAUCACAGAAUCUGCAUUAUCACACACAUUGACAGAGAGAGACAAUCAGCACCUCGGCACACAGUAAACAUUGGUACUUACUUUUCCCAGGUAGAUAUAACCACAGAUACAAAUUGUACAGCUUUGAUCCCUGUGUUAGAAUACAAAGAACUACAGCAACAAACAACAAGAUGGAGAUUGUGCACCACAGAGGUGUUGGAAAGCAUCAUUCAUGUCCGUCUCCAAAGAUCUCUACAGGAGCCAGCUCACUGCCAUCUCAUCUAAGUCCAGUAAUGCUAUGACAAAUCACAAAAGAUUUCACCAGCCGGAUCAAACGGUGGCUCUUCCUAUAAUUGGGCGUAAAUUACUUCAAAUCCAAUAAAUGAAUUCCAAACAGAAGCUAAACGCGCUGGAGACUCUUCGGAUCAAUAACAAAGUUAUAUACUUUUCUCAUCCUCUACGGUUUAACAUCACAUGAUAAGGUCGGAAUACAUUAAUCUUUAUCCACAGUAAUUGACUUGUAUAGUCAAUAAUGUUUCACAAUAGCAUCCAGUCUCUGUUUCUACUGCCUCUAUACAUGAGGGCAUGGAUAUACACACAAGCUAAUGUCAAGAGCUAACGGCUCUCCAUGCCAACUUCUUUCCUGCACGACUAUGUGAUAUUUGCCGGUUACACCAUUGAUUGGAAUCUUAAAACAAUUAUUGUCAUUUUUCAAAGUGUUGAUGCAUUAAUGAGAACUCUAUGCAUCAGCACCGAAUCAAUAAUUUAUCCUUGAGCAUCAUAAGAUUAUUUUUCUGGAUGAUUGUAGUGUUAUCAUUAUUACAAUGUGUUUAUAAAUCACUACAGGAUAGGGGGUGUUGUACAGUUGUAUCUGGGGAGGUCAAUAUCUCCCACUAUUACCCACAUCAAGGACAGACAAGGAGAAACUUGUAAACACAUGUCCAUUUAUCAUUUCAAGUCAAUUACUUCUGAGCUCCUCUGAUCAUUUAAUGAUUUUGUAACUGAAUCACUAAUGAGAAAAAAAAUUAAGUAUGCAUGGACAUUUAUUUCAUAGCAAAAUUUUUCUUUAAAAAAAUCACAUGACAAUUUGUCUUGGACUUUUCCAUUUAAGCAGAAUUAGCAUCCCCAACUUCUUAAUAACUAUGCAUUUGCCUUUGCUCCCUUUAGCGAUUGCCUCAUUUGUCUCCCUUCACAUCUCUCAACAUGAUAAAGAACACCAUUGGCUCAGUCUUCAACAGUAUCAGAUGGCAGCUAACUGUCAACAGGAACAUGCUCCAAUAUACCAGCAUGAUGUAUAUUCUCUAGCAAGCCCUAUCAAUGGCAAAAACAGCUAAGUCUGAUCUUAGAAGGAUAAUACAAGUUUUUUAUCCUGGCUAAUCUAACUCAUUAAAUUCUAGACAAUAAAUACCCCACUUCAACCUUGUCUUAACUAUCAUUUUUAUGGGCCAUAUAUCUGUUGUAGUGGGGCUUUACGGUACCAUCAAGUCAUUCUUUAGGUGUAUAACAAACUCCUUCUGUGGGCCUUCCCGUACUACACACUACAACUAAAUAUAAAGACUGUACAAAAACUCUUCCACAAAGAUGAAACACUGUCCUGUAUUUUCUGGCUGGAUUACAGAAUAUUUCUCUAACCAUUAUCAAUAUGCCUCUCAAGUAGUAUUUCCCUAAGUGAGUCAUUUUACAUGAAAUAAAUUGAUCAGUGGUGCUCUACUGAACUUUAUUUGUUGCGUUGUUUAUCUCUUACACCCCACUGCAGUACUCCAAAAUCUCCUAGAAAUCCAAUAAAAGGCCUCGAGGUAACUUACAUAUCACCUCAUACAACCAUACACGAUACCCUCUACAAAUCCACUCAGAUUAAACUUGUAAAGAUAAUUUUUUUUUUACAUAUAUGAAGAUAAAAGCAGGUAAUAAUCUUUUUCCUUAAAAACCCAAGAUCCUGAUAAUCAGAGUCCAAUUUAUCUACACAUUGUUGAUAAAUGUAUACCCUUCCAUCUUUCCAUCAUCCACAUAGCAAUUAAAUGCCCAAUCACAUCUGUCACCUCUGUAACUAAAGGCUUCCUUACACAAAUACUGUCUUCCUUCACAACAUUCUUCUCAUCUCAGGCAUUUAACAAUUCAUUACCCAUACAACCCUCUAACCACGGGAAUCAGAUAUCACCUUGCUGACAGCUGAUAUCUGAUAUCUGGUAGCUCACAUAUCUCUCAUGACUUAACCUUGGACCUCAUACAAACAAUAGCAAUCACUUACUGUGAUGUAUAGUAACCAUUAUUACCCACAAUUCCACUUAAAUCCUCACAAUUGAUCAUCCAUCAUACACUUCAAGAAAAUGGGGUUUACAUCCAGAAUCCUGUGUCUAAAAUCCACAAGUGAAUUCCACACCGUCUCUGCCCGUAGUUCGGCUUCAAAUUUUGU
Long non-coding RNA from Ostrea edulis (European flat oyster), 14141 nucleotides. RefSeq lists it as uncharacterized. The transcript is spliced from 2 exons. The record is from RefSeq and is a predicted model, not a curated record. NCBI's taxonomy places the organism in Eukaryota, Metazoa, Mollusca, Bivalvia, Ostreida, Ostreidae.